RNAcentral lists this unclassified non-coding RNA (1965 nucleotides) under Hevea brasiliensis (rubber tree). The record is from RNAcentral. Lineage: Eukaryota; Viridiplantae; Streptophyta; Magnoliopsida; Malpighiales; Euphorbiaceae.
AUUCAACUGUGAUCAAUUGAUAUUCUUAAAAAAGCUAGUGUUGUUGAUCACAUUACACUUGGAAAACGAUUGUAACUAGAAAUUGACAAAAUAUAAAUAAUCCAAUAAAACAAAAUUAUGAUACUACAUAGGACUAACUGAAACCUAGAUGUCUGAAUAAAUUUACAAGAUCUAUGCGUCAAUACACGACGUUCUUUCCAGUUGGAGAUAGAUGAUCCUUGUAAUGCAGGCUUUUAAUCACAUGCCCCAAACACCACGUGCUGCUGUGAAUUUGUUGUUUGGUCUAGAUGUCAGCUCAUACAAGAUCCUUCCAAAUGUAUCAGAAUAUCUGCUAUCUGAGAAGAGAAUAUCUGCAAAUGCAUUCUCAUAAGCAAGCAGCAAGGCCCUGUUCUGGGGCUCAGAGACCAGGCUCUCCAGUAUCAUUGCUGCUUUCCUGCAAACUUCUGGCAGUGGAUGUGGUGUCUUGAUCACCUUCAGUAGCCGAUCAACAGCCCAUCGCUUGCUAGCAAGCUUCAAUCUGCAAUCCAUAUUAACUUCUGCAAGGUUAUAGAGUGCACCAACAGCUGCUGCUUGUGCAUCUAAUGCCUGUAUGCUCAUAAGAUCUACCAAACGCUUAUGUAUCUGCAUUAUACAAUUUCAUGCAAAUUAGAUAUAUGAAAAAAACAAUGUCAGUUGAGCAAUAUCAACCUGAGGAACAAAGGGAAGAAGGAACAGUUCAUUGUCAGGAUUUAUUAUCAUCCGCCCCAGUAAUUCUGCAGCAGCACAGUGCCAAGCUUCAAUGGUAGAACCCAGCAUCCCCAUGAUAGCCUGGACUGCACGUUUCUCUGUUAUUUUGAUGUAAGAUGGCUUUGCUGAGCUGAAAAUUCGAAGAUCAAGCAAUGAAUUUACUAUUGUCUCAAGGGCAUUUGUAACAAGUUCCUCAUCCUCAGUAAUAUGAUCUUCUAUGCACUGGAAUACAGUUUCCAAGCAAUGCCGAUGUUGGGCCAUAAUGACUUCAUUCUCUGGCAUGAAAGAGAAAUUGCGUAUGAUAUUUGAAGCAGCCACUGCACACUGCUGCUUUUCCGCUCGCCCCUCUUCAUCUAAAUUAAAUAGCCCAUCCUCAUCAAACCACCACUCCGAAGGACGAACUUUGGCUGCAUUCUUCUGCCCUGGAACUUCAGUUACAGAAGAACCUGACCCCAAUACAGAAUGGGUGGUGAGAUUGUUGCUUGAUCCUAAUGCCUUGUAUCCGUUACCAAAUCCUGUAACCAUAGAAUUAGCACCUAAUGUUCUAACCCUAUGAGUCCUGAUGAGAUCUGCAGGAAGUGCUAUAUCGCGCCAGUCAUCUAUAACUUGGAGAAGAGCAUCGAGCAAGCCAGGGAUUUUAGCCAGAGAAUCUUUUCGCAUGUCUUCCUUUUCUUUGAAAGAGAGCAUUGUAAGAGUGUCCAAUGCCCAUAUCAAUUCGCUCUUUAACCCACUUUGAAGAGCCAAAACUAUUCUCUUAUUAUUUUGAUCUGAAGACAAAAAUAUCACAUAACAGUGAUUGUUAGUUAACACAGAAGUGGACUCAAAUGGCUGCGUAGGUUCUGUUAUUUGAUAGACCAGCCUACAAAGGAGGUGUGAACUUGAAGCGAUGGGCCAAGGAGAUUGGACGGAGCCACGGUGUGGCCGCCGGAGGACGCGGAGGCGACGUUGCUGCUUGUGCUGCCAAAUGGGCGUCCCCUCUUGGCCGCUUGCGCGGUCGCGCCACCAGCCGAGCCAGCAGACUUGCUCUGGUCCCCCUUCUGCAUUAGAGUCCGGUAGGCCUUGCUUGGCUGUGCCGCUGUGGCGAUUUGGUAAUUACGGAUGUCCUUUAGGUAUUUUGCGACCCGGAUCCGAGAAGACCCCAUACGGCAUACGCCAUAUUUAAAUGGCCUGGGCUCUGGACUUUAUGCGUUGUUGUAACUGAUCCACCCGACCGGACUAUUAUUGAUUUUGGAAUUAAAG